RNAcentral lists this long non-coding RNA (5354 nucleotides) under Salmo salar (Atlantic salmon). RNAcentral's name for it is "lncRNA (ENSSSAG00000095071.1)". The record is from RNAcentral. Lineage: Eukaryota; Metazoa; Chordata; Actinopteri; Salmoniformes; Salmonidae.
UGUUUAUCUUUCAAAUGGUGUAACAUAGUUGUAUUUUUGAAAAAUUAGAAUUUUGACAUUUAUUUGGAUUCAAAUUUGCCGCUCUUGAAAUGCACCUGCUGUUGAUGGAGUGCACCACGGGUGGCACGCUAGCGUCCCACCUAGCCCCAAGAGGUUAAGCAGGACACUCCUUGGAAUUGGACUCCGGCCUGUCAGGAGUCGAUCAAGGAGCUAAAACGCCUUCUCACCACGUCUCCAACCCCUUGGCUCAUUUCCACUUGAACUGCCCCACGCUGGUGACCUGCAACGCCUCAGCAGUGGCUAUGAUGGCUGUCCUGUCUCAGCUGCAUGAUGACGUGGAUAAGCCCAUAGCUUUCGUCUCUCGCGCUCUUUCCGACAGAGCAAAAGCACUCAGUAGGGAGCGCAAGGCUUUUGCUUGUGAGAGAUGGCAUCUCUACCUUUUUUUUAUGGUCGCUCCUUCACCCUCAGAACAGACCUGACAGCCCUGAUGUCCAACACUGGCGGGGGACACAGGGCCCUCCAUCUCCAAAGGUGGUCAGAUUGCCUACAACAGUAUGAUUUCCAAGUACAGUUUACUCCAGGAAAAGACAAUGUAGCAGACUUCCUGUCCCUCCCCAUCACCUCGCAGAGCUCAUCUACUCAAAUGGUGACAGAUGGGGAAGAGGAGUUGGUGCAUCUUGUCUUCUCUCUACAGAAUGCUGUGUCCCUGCAAGAACUCGAGGACGCGUCAACUGCAGAACCAUCAUUUGGUACACUCAUUGAGUACAUCAGGAACAGAUGGCCUUCCCACAUCCCAUCAGAACUGGAGUCAUUCUCAAGUGUGAAAAUCAAACUGUCAUGCUGGGGUGAUGUCUGCGUCGCACGCUGGCCACUGUGCAGUGAUCCCUUUGGCCCUCGGGUCGUGUAAUGGCGAUGCCGAACUAAGGUCAUCUCGGCAUUGUCAAACUGAAACAGCGGUGUCGUGACAUGUUGUGGUGGCCUGGCCUAGAUUGUGACCUUGAAGAGCUCAUCAGGUCCUGCACGUCAUGCCUCAUCAGUGGGAAGACGGGCCCACCUGCUCCUUCCCUUGUACAGCCCCUGGACUGGGCAUUUGGAGCACCUACAGCUCGAGGUUUGUGGGGAGCUACACGACGUCUCACACCAUCAAAGGUUGCUCAUUGUGCUGUAUGACCUUCACUCUAAAUGGCCCAAAGUCACCCCAAUGGACACAGUCACAGCGGAGACCAUAGUCAACUUUCUGGAUCAGCUCUUUGCUCGCUGGGGCCUGCCUCAGGCCAUUACCACGGACAAUGGACCCCAGUUCCUGUCGAACCACUUCACCUCUUACCUAACAGGCAAAGGUGUUACCCACAUCCGUACUGCUUUCUAUCACUCGCAGGCAAACAAGGGGGGUGGAAAUAUUGAAUCGGUCUCUAACAAAUGGACUGUGCGCGCACAUGGCCGAAGGUUGCUCUCUGGGGACUGUACUCUCCCAGACCCUUCUCCACUACCACACAGCCUGUCACUCCUCUACGGGAAUCUCCUCGGCCUCACUCAUGUUGGGGCGUGAGCUCUGUGAAAAGGGAUCUGCAUGGAACCCAAAAGGGAUCUACCUAGAACCAAAAAUGGUUCUUCAAAGGGUUCUCCUAUGUGGACAACCGGAGAACCAUUUUAGGUUUCUAAGAGUGUACAGUCGUGGCCAAAAGUUUUGAGAAUGACACAUUAAUUUCCACAAAGUCUGCUGCUUCAGUGUCUUUAGAUAUUUUUGUCAGAUGUUACUAUGGAAUACUGAAGUAUAAUUACAAGCAUUUCACAAGUAUCAAAGGCUUUUAUUGACAAUUACAUGAAGUUAAUGCAAAGAGUCAAUAGUUGCAGUGUUGACCUUUGUUUUUCAAGACCUCUGCAAUCCACCCUGGCAUGCUGUCAAUUAACUUCUGGGCCACAUCCUGCCUGAUGGCAGCCCAUUCUUGAAUAAUCAAUGCUUGGGGUUUGUCAGAAUUUGUGGGUUUUUGUUUGUCCACCCGCCUCGAGGAUUGACCACGUGUUCUCAAUAGGAUUAAGGUCUGGGGAGUUUCCUGGCCAUGGACCCAAAAUAUCAAUGUUUUGUUCCCCGAGCCACUUAGUUAUCAAAUUGUGAGUGAGCCCACUCCCUUGGCUGAGAAGCAACCCCACACAUGAAUGGUCUCAGGAUGCUUUACUGUUGGCAUGACACUCGACUGAUGGUAGCGCUCUCCUUUUUCUUCUCCGGACAAGCUUUUUUUUCCAGAUUCCCCAAACAAUCAGAAAGGGGAUUCAUCAGAGAAAAUGACUUUACCCCAGUCCUCAGCAGUCCAAUCCCUGUAUCUUUUGCAGAAUAUCAGUCUGUCCCUGAUGUUUUUCCUGGAGAGAAGUGGCUUCUUUGCUGCCCUUCUUGACACCAGGCCAUCCUCCAAAAGUAUUCGCCUCACUGUGCGUGCAGAUGCACUCACACCUGCCUGCUGCCAUUCCUGAGCAAGCUCUGUAGUAGUGGUGCCCCGAUCCCGCAGCUGAAUCAACUUUAGGAGACGCUCCUGGCGCUUGCUGGACUUUCUUGGGCGCCCUGAAGCCUUCUUCACAACAAUUGAACCACUCUCCUUGAAGUUCUUGAUGAUCUGAUAAAUGGUUGAUUUAGGUGCAAUCUUACUGGCAGCAAUAUCCUUGCCUGUGAAGCCCUUUUUGUGUAAAGCAAUGAUGAUGGCGCAUGUUUCCUUGCAGGUAACCAUGGUUGACAGGGGAAGAACAAUGAUUGCAAGCACCACCCUCCUUUUGAAGCUUCCAGGCUGUUGUUCGAACUCAAUCAGCAUGACAGAGCAGCUGGUCCUUUUGUGGUAGGGCUGAAAUGCAGUGGAAAUGUUUUUGGGGGAUUCAGUUCAUUUGCAUGGCAAAGAGGGACUUUGCAAUUAAUUACAAUUCAUCUGAUAACAUUCAUAACAUUCUGGAGUAUAUGCAAAUUGCCAUCAUACAAACUGAGGCAGCAGACUUUGAAAAUUAAUAUUUGUGUCAUUCUCAAAACUUUUGGCCACGACUGUAGUCUUUGUUGUCUGCAGGUACCAACAACAAUGCUCAGACAGAGGAGGCCCAGGAAACGGCCCUGCCGGGGCCAACAUCAAACUGGUCAGCUCAACACUUCUCAUAGAGCGGCACCUGGUCAAAUAUCUGCUGGCUGCAGAAACCAAUGUCCAUGUUGCCACACAGACGUGGCUGACGUGAUUCUGCAGACGGGGGCUGACCUGAAUCAUGAAUCGAAGAGGGGACCAGAACCCCUCGAAUGAAAGUCAAGCACGACCAAUGUUUAGUGAGGUCAUUUGCACUCACGAUUAAAGGAGAUCCAUGAAGUGAACAUGGACAGCAUCUCUAAGCCUGAUUUCUCAUAGGAGGACGGGUUGGACGGGACAGUGCAUUUCCUCAAAAUCAAGGUAGUCCCUGACAGUUGGAAGAUGGACCUGAGCGAGAUCUUAGAAUCGUCGAGGAGGACAAGGAAGGAAAGGAGAGCGAAGAGGAGAAAGAGGUGCUAAGGGUGGUCACACAAUUGUGGUGUCCUAGCUCCUCAACUACCCCAACAACAUUGUUUCGGGCCCCAUGCCAGACUUAUCUCAUCUCUCACCCCCCUCCCAAGACACCUCUCAGGCUCCAUGACUUCCAUUCCAAGCCCUGGCCAUGGUAGUGCCUCCCCAAGAGCCAGACAGGGUACCCUCCAACAUCACAAUACCUCCACUUGUCAUCACAAAAGAGGCUGAGCCCCCUACAGGUUAACGCCGUUGCUGCAGAGUGCAUUGUGGAAGAGACUGAGAGCAAGCUGAAUGAGUUGAGCCAAUGGAUCUCAGCCAUAGAGAAGGCAGAGCUGCAGCAGAAGAAAAUCCUCAAGGAGCAGUUAACCAAAGUGUACAUGAAGGUCAAAGGCCUGAAGGAUGACCCAGGAAAAGUAGUUGCUGGAGAUGAUCGUGGACUACAGGAAAAGGAGGGCCGAACAGGCCUCCAUUAACAUCGACGGGGCUGUAGUGGAGCGGGUCGAGAGUUUCAAGUUCCUUGGUGUCCACAUCACCAACAAACUAUCAUGGUCCAAACACACCAAGACAAUCAUGAAGAGGGCACGGCAACACCUUUUCCCCCACAGGAGACUGAAAAGAUUUGGUAUGGGUUCCAAGUUCCUCAAAAAGUUCUUCAGCUGCACCAUCGAGAGCAUUCUGUCUGGUUGCAUCACCGCCUGGCAUGGCAACUGCUCCGCAUCUGACCGUACCCCCUGUAUAUAGCCUCGUUAUUGUUAUGUAAUUUUAUUGUUACUUUUUAUGACAUUUUUUACUUUAGUUAUUUAGUAAAUAUUUUCUAUAUUUCUUGAACUGCAUUGUUGGUUAAGGGCUUGUAAAUAAGCAUUUCACGGUAAGAUCUACACAUGUUAUAUUCGGAGCAUGUGACAAAUAACAUUUGAUUUGAUUUAUUUGAUUUACUACCUUGACAGCAGCUAAAGGAAUCCCUAAUAAAUACAAAUACAAAAAGUAUAUAUUAACAGUAUACACAGUAUAUUAUACUGUAUAUAUUGUGUGUGUGCGAGUGCGUGUGUUCCUACUAAGACGGAUGGCGUCUCCAAAUUAAGAAUAUGCCACUGACUUCAGAGCAACUGUCUUGGUUUAGCAGGGAGGUUACCUCCAGCCAGGUUGUAUGAGCAGAAUCAGAGAGCCUGACCUCCCUCUGUCUGUCAGUACGUACCAACCACCAACUGGGCUAGCCGGUUAGAGCUGUUUUUAUUGGGUCAUGAAUGUUGUUUGUUUUCAUGAGCAAUACAUGUGAGAUCACCUUACAUUGCCACGGAGCUGAUGUUCAUUUUACUGUAGGUGUCUUUUCGUAUGUUUGUUUUGUGUAUGAAAAUGCUAUUGGCAAAAUAUGUUAUUGAGACCAAUACAUCACUGAGAGUAGGCUGGUUUUGAGGGGUGUGUGUGGGCAUUGUCCUCUCAGUAUCUCGUUAAAGAGCUUUCCCCUGUUUGUUUGUAAGGUUGAAGAGAUGUGGGUGAAGAAAUGGUGAUUUGCAGCCUGCCAGUCUGUUAUCAACCACUCAUGUUCUCCGCUAACCUAAACAUUACUGCAGAAUCUUCUCUUCAAAAAGCAUCCACCUCCAUUCCACUCACUAUGAAUACAGAUGCCACCUUGUCCUUACUAAGCCAUGACUACUGGCUUCCCACAUGAAAAAAUACUAUAGUAUUCUCUGUAAUGUUUUUGCUGACUUUACUGUAGUAUUCACUGGAGUAACUAAAGUGCAAAAAGUCUGUAAAACACUAAAGUCAGCAAAAACACUACAGUGAAAACUAGUAUUUACUGUAGUAUAUUGUAGUGAACUGUAGUAUUUACAGUUAACUAUUGUAUAA